UGAUGCAGCCAUGCCGCGUGUAUGAAGAAGGCCUUAGGGUUGUAAAGUACUUUCAGCGGGGAGGAAGGUGAUAAAGUUAAUACCCUUAUCAAUUGACGUUACCCGCAGAAGAAGCACCGGCUAACUCCGUGCCAGCAGCCGCGGUAAUACGGAGGGUGCAAGCGUUAAUCGGAAUUACUGGGCGUAAAGCGCACGCAGGCGGUCAAUUAAGUCAGAUGUGAAAGCCCCGAGCUUAACUUGGGAAUUGCAUCUGAAACUGGUUGGCUAGAGUCUUGUAGAGGGGGGUAGAAUUCCACGUGUAGCGGUGAAAUGCGUAGAGAUGUGGAGGAAUACCG
RNAcentral lists this ribosomal RNA (335 nucleotides) under Serratia marcescens. Its description in RNAcentral is "bacterial SSU rRNA". It matches the Rfam family "Bacterial small subunit ribosomal RNA", at positions 384 to 711 of the family's 1533-position model. Lineage: Bacteria; Pseudomonadati; Pseudomonadota; Gammaproteobacteria; Enterobacterales; Yersiniaceae. The record is from RNAcentral.